UGUGGCAUACGGCUCAGUAACACGUAGUCAACAUGCCCAGGGGACGUGGAUAACCUCGGGAAACUGAGGAUAAACCGCGAUAGGUCAUUACUUCUGGAAUGGGUAAUGACUUAAAUCUAUAUGGCCCCUGGAUUGGACUGCGGCCGAUCAGGCUGUUGGUGAGGUAAUGGCCCACCAAACCUGUAACCGGUACGGGCUCUGAGAGGAGGAGCCCGGAGAUGGGCACUGAGACAAGGGCCCAGGCCCUAUGGGGCGCAGCAGGCGCGAAACCUCUGCAAUAGGCGAAAGCUUGACAGGGUUACUCUGAGUGAUUUCCGUUAAGGAGAUCUUUUGGCACCUCUAAAAAUGGUGCAGAAUAAGGGGUGGGCAAGUCUGGUGUCAGCCGCCGCGGUAAUACCAGCACCCCGAGUGGUCGGGACGUUUAUUGGGCCUAAAGCAUCCGUAGCCGGUUCUACAAGUCUUCCGUUAAAUCCACCUGCUUAACAGAUGGGCUGCGGAAGAUACUAUAGAGCUAGGAGGCGGGAGAGGCAAGCGGUACUCGAUGGGUAGGGGUAAAAUCCGUUGAUCCAUUGAAGACCACCAGUGGCGAAGGCGGCUUGCCAGAACGCGCUCGACGGUGAGGGAUGAAAGCUGGGGGAGCAAACCGGAUUAGAUACCCGGGUAGUCCCAGCUGUAAACGAUGCAGACUCGGUGAUGAGUUGGCUUAUUGCUAACUCAGUGCCGCAGGGAAGCCGUUAAGUUUGCCGCCUGGGGAGUACGGUCGCAAGACUGAAACUUAAAGGAAUUGGCGGGGGAGCACCACAAGGGGUGAAGCCUGCGGUUCAAUUGGAUUCAACGCCGGG
This 842-nucleotide ribosomal RNA is filed under the name uncultured archaeon. Its description in RNAcentral is "bacterial SSU rRNA". It matches the Rfam family "Archaeal small subunit ribosomal RNA", at positions 77 to 922 of the family's 1478-position model. The record is from RNAcentral.